Small nuclear RNA from Dipodomys ordii (Ord's kangaroo rat), 126 nucleotides. The record is from Ensembl. NCBI's taxonomy places the organism in Eukaryota, Metazoa, Chordata, Mammalia, Rodentia, Heteromyidae.
GUGUUGUAUGAAAGGAGAAAAGGUUAGCACUCCCCUUGACAAAGAUGGAAGAGGCCAUUGGGCAUGUCAACACGCAUAUGGUUAAGGCAUUGCCACCUACUUUGUGGCAUCUAACCAUUGCUUUUA